Molecule: transfer RNA, 90 nt
Filed under: Paramuricea clavata
Lineage: Eukaryota; Metazoa; Cnidaria; Anthozoa; Malacalcyonacea; Plexauridae
Description: tRNA-Ile
Source: RNAcentral
GCUCUCGUGGCCGAGUUGGUUAGUUCGUCGUACUUAUAAGCAGUGCAGGAGUAUAUGCGAAGGUCGAGUGUUCGAUCCCCUCCGGGAGCA